AAAACGGUGAGUCAGUUUGCGAUUGACGGUGAGGGGGGACGUUGUGACUGACGCGCUCUCAUUAAAAAGUCACAUUUCAUAAGUAAUUAAACAGAAACGCCUGAAACUAACGCUAAUAAUUGUGAGAUGAAGUGCUGGACUACUUAUAUAACAAGGACAGAAGUGGAUUUAAGUGAUUAAUGAAUGAAAACAAGAAAAAGCGAAAAAAAAAUCUUGGCUCAAUAAAAUAAAUAAAUAAAUAGAUAAAAUAAAUGUAUCGAAUAUUUAUAAGUGAUGGUUACAUUAAUAACACAAUCAACAACAAAGAGGAAGAGGAAGAAGAAGAGGAAGAGGAAGAGGAAGAGGAAGAAGAAGAGGACCACAAGGAUCUUAUCAAGAUCAAGAUUACCCUCCUACUCCGCGGCCAUUAGGUGACACUAACGUCUGGCGAUCUUCAAAGCUUCCUUCUUCGCAUAUCAGCCUUGGGAAACGCUUCGUCCAUGCCACCAGCCAUGAAAGACGUGCUUGCGUGUUACUCACUGCCUUGCUAUCUAAUAUUUUGGUGUUGAUGAUAAGCUCUUGGGAAAAUGACAAUCCACAGAGGACAUGUCUGUUGUCAAAAUAACAGGUGUACUUCUUACAUUGAGUGGGUGGUCAAGAGGCCCAGGAGCUUUUCUCCGGUGUAAAGGCUGCUGCAGAUCUGUAGGACGGUGGAGUUUCCUGACACAAGCUGAGGCUAAGCUAGAAGGACCUACCUUAAGGUCCUUUGAGAUACCAGGAGUUGUUUCAAGAAAGCAUGGCACCAGUGACUCUGAGAAUUCAGAAGAAGGUGGUGUCUUUGUAAGUCCAGAGCCUGAGGAUACUCAGUCUCAAUGGCGAAUGAGGUUAAGAGAGACGGGCGAGUGAGCAGAGCCCCUCUCAAGAGCUACGUCCACGCAGAAGGAAGGGAAGUGAAAGAUGGAGAAAGGACACCACCACCACAGUAGCCAGAUGGAUGCCAGUGAGGAACCCUUUGUCAUUCAUACUCCUCUUAUUAACAAACAAAAGUUGCCAAUGGGAUGUACCAGAACACAGUGUAUGGGAUGGCUGCCCGUCUCCCAUUCAGCUACACGGGGGCGGUGGUGCUGGGCUCGCACUUAUUCCAUUACCACGACGCGAUGCACAACAGGUGAAAAAAAUCCUCAAAGAACGACAGAAGGAAGCCGAGGACUCCUUAGUGGCACACCUUCAAGUCUGCCUUCCCUCAGCUGUUCAACAUAUUCAUGGCCUUUGUGACUUUGGCAAUCUUCCCUGCAGGCCUGGCGGGUCAAGGUAUGGGAAGCAUCACCCCUUCACCCCAGACACCCUCCCCACACCCCAGGCCCCACACACCCCUGGGGAGAGGCAGGAACACACCCCAAACAGCUGUCAUGUCUCAAAAUCAAAUCAAAGGGAAUUUUUGAAGACUUGGGGUUCAGACAGUGGUACCCCUGCUUCUCCCCCAACCCCACACCCCGGACGCCCCUCCAUGCCACCCCGUGGACACCCUGGGGGAGGCUGUCGCACCCCAUGCACCCCACACACCCCAUGAAUGCCGACAGUGCGUGCCCAGAGUUGCAUCACAGCUUGAGAUUAAGUCAAAACGCAAGCCUGGACCCAGUUGACUUCACACAGUCUUCUCAGCCCUCCCACAGCCUUUGUCAGCCUCCCACAGUGCAUCACAGCCUCCUACAGCAUUGGAUGCCAGAACACAGCCCCCCACAGAACACCAAUCCUUCCCACAGUGGCCAGAAACAGCACACAGCAAAAUGGUUAACCAGAAUGAACAGACACACGAACUGACACACAUAGACACAGCGCCAAACGCCAUAGAGCCAACGCACAGCAUCCCACAGCAGCCAGGGGGACAGCACAGCAUCACGGACUCCCCAGACACCCUCAGAACACCACAGCACACAGCACAGGAUGAAAUAUUAAGCUUAGCCUUUGCAUCACCUGUCAUAAACAGCACUGGGGGAGAUGACAGCACACAGUGGCACACAGCAGGGACCCAGGGACUAGUGAGGACUGAACAGCAAGCCACAGCAUCACCACACCCUGUGGAUGCUGUGAGGGAAGCAGGACGACCACACACAAGGCACAAGAUUGAGAAACGGACAGAAAGAGGAACCAUCAAUUCGAAGGAUCAUUUUAAAACAAGACUCAUAACUUCUGCUGCUACUUCUGCUGUUACUACUGCUACUAUUACUGCGGCUACUGCUAUAGGGGGUGCAUCUGUGUCCUCCAGCAAUAUUUACCAGUGUAUCGAGACUUAGACAAGACUUCACCAUUAAACAAGAUGAAAAUCUCGGAACAGGGAAGGAGAAAAAUAACUCGGAGAACAAGAAGGACAAGAGGAAGGCGCGACACUGACACACAAACGCACACACACACACAAAACGGAAGCCACUACAGGCUUUAGACCUUUCAUGUGACUCUGGCAACAGUGAUCCCAGUGUUACCAAACCCCUGUGUGACUCUAGGAGCGCGGACAGCUGGAAACAAGGGCUGGGGAGGCCGGGAGUGAGGUCAGGGGUCACAGGAGAGGGAAACAGUGCUCUUCCUCUUCCUCCUCACUGCAGUUCAGGUCACCACAGCCUUGCCGCAGCCAGCCACACCCACCACGGGCCUCCACACACCCUCACGCAGCAGUGCCAAGGCUGGACACAGCACUGCACAGCCCAGAACAGUCUAUGCCUAAUUCUCUAGUCAUUUAUAUUCAGAAUUUAACCCCCCUUGUGAGGACAGCGACUACCACCACCACCACCACCAGCACAGCCAAGUAGAUGCAGACACAAGAAGGAUAAGAUCACAUGACCUCUCCCACACCCUUGACCUGACCAUGUAACUGGCCAGGACCAUACUGAGGCGAUCUGAGAGUCUCCUAACUUCUCUGCCCCAACCCAGCAGCAGAAAUAGCCCAAGAAGUAGCCCAAAUGUAGCCUGCCAUAAGAGAUAGCCCAGUAGCUAAAAAAAAUAGCCCAAAGAUUAGGUUGCCCAAAAAAUAGCCCAAAGAAUGUGGUUUUUUAUGUUUUAUUUAUUUAGUUUAUUUAUUUUAAUUGUAAAGGAAGUUAGGAAUUUUUUUUUUUUUUGUCAGUUCUCUAAGUCAAGAAAGGUGUGUGUCAGUCAGUCAGUCAGUCAGACAGACAGACAGACAGACAGACAGACAGACAGACAGACAGACAGACAGACAGACUUAUGCCAUUGAGAAAAUGACAUUAAGCUCUAGGCUAUUAAAAGUAGAUUUGAUAUUUGAGAGAGAGAGAGAGAGAGAGAGAGAGAGAGAGAGAGAGAGAGAGAGAGAGAGAGAGAGAGAGAGAGAGAGAGAGAGAGAGAGAGAGAGAGAGAGAGAGAGAGAGAGAGAGAGAGAGAGAGAUAAUAAUAAUUGUAGUAUGUGUGUGUGAGAAACAUGACUGCCUGCCCAGAUCCCCCUUUGAGGCAGCUGAUUGGUUGACAACUUGGUGCUUGUAUCUGAUUGGUCACCAUGACUUAGAUGUGACACGUGAUUGGUUGGAAUUACUACUGUUACUGUUAUUUUUAAGUUCUGACUAGGUGUAAUGGGAAAUGUUGUGUUUCUGAUAAGUUUUUGGUCAUUUUCAAGUUUGGCUGAGUUCUGACUAAGUUCUGAAUUAAAAUAUUGUGUUUUUGUGAAGAUUUUUGGUCUAGGAAAGUUUGGCUAAUUUUUUUUUAAGAUUGAGUCAAAAUGUUGUGUUUCUGAUAAGUUUUUUGGUCAUUUUCAAGUUUGGCUGAGUUCUGACUAAGUUCUGAAUUUAAAUGCAUUUUUGUGAAGAUUUUUAGUCUAGGAAAGUUUGGCUAAUUUUUUUUUUUGAAGUUCUGAGUGAAAAUGUUGUGUUUCUGAUAAGUUUUUAAGGUCAUUUUCAAGUCUGGCCAAGUUCUGACUAAGUUCUGAAUUAAAAUAUUGUGUUUUUGUGAAGAUUUUUUGGUCUAGGAAAGUUUGGCUAAUUUUUUUUAAGUUCUGAGUCAAAAUGUUGUGUUUCUGAUAAGUUUUUUAUGUUAUUUUCAAGUUUGGCCAAGUUCUGACUAAGUUCUGAAUUUAAAUAUUGUGUUUUUGUGAAGAUUUUUGGUCUAGGAAAGUUUGGCUAAUUUUUUUUAAGUUCUGAGUCAAAAGGUUGUGUUUCUGAUAAUUUUUUUAUGUCAUUUUCAAGUUUGGCCAAGUUCUGACUAAGUUCUGAAUUUAAAUAUUGUGUUUUUGUGAAGAUUUUUUAUUAAGGAAAGUUUGGCUAAUUUUUUUUUAAGAUCUGAGUCAAAAUGUUGUGUUUCUGAUAAGUUUUUAAGGUCAUUUUCAAGUUUGGCCAAGUUCUGACUAAGUUCUGAAUUUAAAUAUUGUGUUUUUGUGAAGAUUUUUUAUUAAGGAAAGUUUGGCUAAUUUUUUUUUAAGAUUGAGUCAAAAUGUUGUGUUUCUGAUAAGUUUUUUAUGUUAUUUUCAAGUUUGGCCAAGUUCUGACUAAGUUCUGAAUUAAAAUAUUGUGUUUUUGUGAAGAUUUUUUAUUAAGGAAAGUUUGACUAAUUUUUUUUAAGUUCUGAGUCAAAAUGUUGUGUUUCUGAUAAGUUUUUAAUGUUAUUUUCAAGUUUGGCCAAGUUCUGACUAAGUUCUGAAUUAAAAUAUUGUGUUUUUGUGAAGAUUUUUUAUUAAGGAAAGUUUGACUAAUUUUUUUUAAGUUCUGAGUCAAAAUGUUGUGUUUCUGAUAAGUUUUUUGUUAUUUUCAAGUUUGGCCAAGUUCUGACUAAGUUCUGAAUUUAAAUAUUGUGUUUUUGUGAAGAUUUUUUAUUAAGGAAAGUUGCUAAUUUUUUUUUAAGAUUGAAUCAAAAUGUUGUGUUUCUGAUAAGUUUUUUAUGUUAUUUUCAAGUUUGGCCAAGUUCUGACUAAGUUCUGAAUUUAAAUAUUGUGUUUUUGUGAAGAUUUUUUAUUAAGGAAAGUUUGGCUAAUUUUUUUUUAAGUUCUGAGUCAAAAUGUUGUGUUUCUGAUAAGUUUUUUAUGUUAUUUUCAAGUUUGGCCAAGUUCUAAGUUAUAAUUGAAAGUAUUGUGUUUUUGACAAGAUUAUAAGUGUGAAAGUUUGUGUUAAGUUCAUUGCAGUGAAAGUUGAUGUGUAUACUUAAGUUAUUCACUUAUAGAAACUUAUAAGGGCAUAAAGGUUACAUUGAAAAAAUUAGAGGAAUAAAUGUUUACUUAUUUUGUAUUGUGAGAGAGAGAGAGAGAGAGAGGUCAGGUGCCUUCUAAUGAUAAUGAUGAUGAUGAUAAUAAUAAUAAUAAUAAUAAUAAUAAUAAUAAUAAUAAUAAUAAUAACUAGUAUUCAUACCAAAAUAUCCAUCCAUAGAAAAUAUUCAUGUUUUUACUAUUAUUAUUAUUAUUAUUAUUAUUAUUAUUAUUAUUAUUAUUAUUAUUAUUAUUAUUAUUAUUAUUAUUAUUAUUAUUGCUGCUGCUGCUGCUACUACUACUACUACUACUACUACUACUACUACUACUACUACUACUACUACUACUACUACUACUACUACUACUACUACUACUACUACUACUACUACUACUACUACUACUACUACUACUACUACCAAACACCACCAAUACACUCCCACCACUACCACCACUACUACUACUACUACUACUACUACUACUACUACUACUACUACUACUACUACUACUACUACUACUACUACUACUACUACUACUACCACCACCACCACCAAACACCACCAAUACACUCCCACCACUACCACCACUACCACCACUACUACUACUACUACUACUACUACUACUACUACUACUACUACUACUACUACUACUACUACUACUACUACUACUACUACUACUACUACCACCACCACCAAACACCACCAAUACACUCCCACCACUACCACCACUACUACUACUACUACUACUACUACUACUACUAUUUUUUCCAUGCAAUUAGGCAUAUUAGGAUCAUCAUCAUCAGUAGUAGCAGUAGUAGGCCUAGUCAUUACACACAAUAAUUCAUAAUAAACUUGUAUAUAUAUUU
Molecule: RNA transcript, 6014 nt
Organism: Scylla paramamosain (green mud crab)
Lineage: Eukaryota; Metazoa; Arthropoda; Malacostraca; Decapoda; Portunidae
Exons: 10
Source: RefSeq, a predicted model, not a curated record